CCUACGGGUGGCAGCAGUGAGGAAUAUUGGUCAAUGGACGAGAGUCUGAACCAGCCAAGUAGCGUGAAGGAUGACUGCCCUAUGGGUGGUAAACUUCUUUUAUAUGGGAGUAAAAUGUUCCACGUGUCGGAUUUUGUAUGUACCAUAUGAAUAAGGAUCGGCUAACUACGUGCCAGCAGCCGCGGUAAUACGGAGGAUCCGAGCGUUAUCCGUUUUUAUUGGGUUUAAAGGGAGCGUAGGUGGAUUGUUAAGUCAGUUGUGAAAGGUUGCGGCUCAACCGUCAAAUUGCAGUUGAAACUGGCAGUCUUGAGUACAGUAGAGGUAGGCGGAAUUCGUGGUGUAGCGGUGAAAUGCUUAGAUAUCACGAAGAACUCCGAUUGCGAAGGCAGUUCACUGGACUGCAACUGACACUGAGGCUCGAAAGUGUGGGUAUCAAACAGGAUUAGAUACCCUUGUAGUC
This 460-nucleotide ribosomal RNA is filed under the name uncultured bacterium. RNAcentral's name for it is "partial 16S ribosomal RNA". It matches the Rfam family "Bacterial small subunit ribosomal RNA", at positions 338 to 795 of the family's 1533-position model. The record is from RNAcentral.